Molecule: ribosomal RNA, 493 nt
Filed under: uncultured bacterium
Lineage: Bacteria
Description: bacterial SSU rRNA
Rfam family: Bacterial small subunit ribosomal RNA
Source: RNAcentral
GAUGAACGCUAGCUACAGGCUUAACACAUGCAAGUCGAGGGGAAACGACAUCGAAAGCUUGCUUUUGGUGGGCGUCGACCGGCGCACGGGUGAGUAACGCGUAUCCAACCUGCCCACCACUUGGGGAUAACCUUGCGAAAGUAAGACUAAUACCCAAUGAUAUCCCACGAAGGCAUCCGAAUGGGAUUAAAGAUUUAUCGGUGAUGGAUGGGGAUGCGUCUGAUUAGCUUGUUGGCGGGGUAACGGCCCACCAAGGCGACGAUCAGUAGGGGUUCUGAGAGGAAGGUCCCCCCACAUUGGAACUGAGACACGGUUCAAACUCCUACGGGAGGCAGCAGUGAGGAAUAUUGGUCAAUGGGCGAGAGCCUGAACCAGCCAAGUAGCGUGCAGGAUGACGGCCCUAUGGGUUGUAAACUGCUUUUAUAGGGGAAUAAAGUGAGCCACGUGUGGCUUUUUGCAUGUACCCUAUGAAUAAGGACCGGCUAAUUCCGUG